AGUGAACGCUGGCGGUAGGCCUAACACAUGCAAGUCGAACGGCGGCACAGUAAGAGCUUGCUCUUACGGGUGGCGAGUGGCGGAUGGGUGAGGAAUACAUCGCCAUCUACUUUUUCGUAGGGGAUAACGUAGGGAAACUUACGCUAAUACCGCAUACGACCUACGGGUGAAAGCAGGGGAUCUUCGGACCUUGCGCGAUUGAUUGAGCCGAUGUCGGAUUAGCUAGUUGGCGGGGUAAAGGCCCACCAAGGCGACGAUCCGUAGCUGGUCUGAGAGGAUGAUCAGCCACACUGGAACUGAGACACGGUCCAGACUCCUAAGGGAGGCAGCAGUGGGGAAUAUUGGACAAUGGGCGCAAGCCUGAUCCAGCCAUACCGCGUGGGUGAAGGAGGCCUUCGGGUUGUAAAGCCCUUUUGUUGGGAAAGAAAAGCAGCAGGUUAAGACCCCGCUGUUCUGACGGUACCCAAAGAAUAAGCACCGGCUAACUUCGUG
Molecule: ribosomal RNA, 492 nt
Filed under: uncultured bacterium
Lineage: Bacteria
Description: partial 16S ribosomal RNA
Rfam family: Bacterial small subunit ribosomal RNA
Source: RNAcentral